UCAGUAUCGAAGCAAACGCGUUAAGUGUCCCGCCUGGGGAGUACGCACGCAAGUGUGAAACUCAAAGGAAUUGACGGGGGCCCGCACAAGCGGUGGAGUAUGUGGUUUAAUUCGAUGCAACGCGAAGAACCUUACCAGGGAUUGACAUCCUACGAAUCACUUUGAAAGGAGUGAGUGCCUUCGGGAACGUAGAGACAGGUGGUGCAUGGCUGUCGUCAGCUCGUGUCGUGAGAUGUUGGGUUAAGUCCCGCAACGAGCGCAACCCUCGUCCUUAGUUGCCAUCAUUAAGUUGGGCACUUUAAGGAGACUGCCGGUGACAAACCGGAGGAAGGUGGGGAUGACGUCAAGUCAUCAUGCCCCUUACAUCCUGGGCUACACACGUACUACAAUGCAACGGACAAAGGGCAGCCAACUAGCGAUAGUGCGCAAAUCCCAUAAACCGUUGCUCAGUUCAGAUUGCAGGCUGCAACUCGCCUGCAUGAAGGCGGAAUCGCUAGUAAUCGCAGGUCAGCAUACUGCGGUGAAUACGUUCCCGGGCCUUGUACACACCGCCCGUCACACCAUGGAAGUUGGCCACGCCCGAAGUCGUUACCCCAACCGUUUACGGAGGGGGACGCCGAA
Molecule: ribosomal RNA, 621 nt
Filed under: uncultured bacterium
Lineage: Bacteria
Description: bacterial SSU rRNA
Rfam family: Bacterial small subunit ribosomal RNA
Source: RNAcentral